RNAcentral lists this ribosomal RNA (372 nucleotides) under uncultured organism. RNAcentral's name for it is "bacterial SSU rRNA". It matches the Rfam family "Bacterial small subunit ribosomal RNA", at positions 526 to 896 of the family's 1533-position model. The record is from RNAcentral.
CAGAGACUGCAAGCGUUAUUCGGAUUCACUGGGCGUAAAGGGUGCGCAGGCGGCCAAGUGUGUUAGGCGUGAAAGCCCGGGGCUUAACCCCGGAAUUGCACCUAAAACUACAUGGCUAGAGCAUUGGAGAGGGUAGCGGAAUUCACGGUGUAGCAGUGAAAUGCGUAGAUAUCGUGAGGAACACCAGAGGCGAAGGCGGCUACCUGGACAAUUGCUGACGCUCAGGCACGAAAGCGUGGGGAGCAAAAGGGAUUAGAUACCCCUGUAGUCCACGCCCUAAACGGUGCACACUAGGUCUUGGCGGAUUCGACCCCACCAGGGCCCCAGCUAACGCGUUAAGUGUGCCGCCUGAGGACUACGGUCGCAAGACUA